This 79-nucleotide non-coding RNA is filed under the name Paraburkholderia sabiae. RNAcentral describes it as "c-di-GMP-I". It matches the Rfam family "c-di-GMP-I riboswitch aptamer". Rfam says of the family: GEMM was predicted in a large-scale screen for bacterial structured RNA regulatory elements. Genes associated with GEMM are involved in a diverse array of functions, including chemotaxis regulation, signal transduction, secretion and chitin. The record is from RNAcentral. Lineage: Bacteria; Pseudomonadati; Pseudomonadota; Betaproteobacteria; Burkholderiales; Burkholderiaceae.
UACACGGAAGGGCAAAACCGGAGCGAUCCGGCGACGCAAAGCUAAAGGGACUCCGUACAGGAGUUAGCCAGUUGCCCGU